UAGUAUGAACCAUACAUACUCCAGGCUGAAAGAACCUGCCUAAGGGUUAUAGAAAUCACGAAUGAAAUGUUCUUUUGUCCUUUUCGUCUUGUUGCUUGCCGACAAUGAUAUUGUUGCUAUUUGUGCAGCCAGAUUUCACAGAACAUCAUGAUGCCAAACUUAAGUCAGUUUUUCUGUCAGAGCAUGGCAGGUUGAAACAUGCAGCAGCAGCUCAUUGUUUCGUUUGGAUUGUUCUGAUGAUUUUGAUGUGGGGGAACAUCGUGUUUGAAGUUUCCUUCUGCCUUCUGGCUGACUUUUCGUUCUUGCAUGUGAACUCAGACAAAAAGAUGCUGCAUGUGCAUGAUCAAGGUGAAGAAAAUGGAAGAUUCGAUUUUGGUCUGGACUUCGGUUUGUAUACAGUGACUCUCACACUUUCUGAGUAACCGUUUCUUGAGGUCUACAGGAGCAUGUGAAUGAUCAAACGUUUGGGGUAUAGACUAUAGUCUCUAUAGAUUGAUGGUGGAUGCACUAGUGAAGAACAGGCAUGCAUUAAAGUUCAAGGAAUACUACAUUCAGAAAACGUUGCAAAUUCACAUCCCUUAUGCACAUAAUCAACCCAUCAAAUUCUAACCCCUAACAAUAAUACACAGAGAGAGAGAGAGAGAGAGAGAGAGAGAGAACAAGACAG
Molecule: long non-coding RNA, 667 nt
Organism: Carya illinoinensis
Lineage: Eukaryota; Viridiplantae; Streptophyta; Magnoliopsida; Fagales; Juglandaceae
Exons: 2
Source: RefSeq, a predicted model, not a curated record